RNAcentral lists this long non-coding RNA (1139 nucleotides) under Piliocolobus tephrosceles (Ugandan red Colobus). RNAcentral describes it as "lncRNA (ENSPTEG00000006340.1)". The record is from RNAcentral. Lineage: Eukaryota; Metazoa; Chordata; Mammalia; Primates; Cercopithecidae.
AACUCGCACCUGGCCUGCCUGCGUUCCCACGCCCCACGAAGGGACGCCGCGUUUCUCUCCCUUCCAAGGGACCCUUUUCCUCCCCCCCCCCCCCCCCCCCCCCCCCGCGAAGUCUCAUUCCGGAUUGCCUCGAUGCCCCAGGGUCACCUGCUAUCAACCUGGGCAGGCGUUUGGCCCCGGGCCUGCCCUUGUCUCCAUCCCCAGCCCGUCUUCCACCUCUUGUCGCCCCCUCCCGCUCAGCCCCCUUCUUCUCCACGUGCCCCUGCACUCCCACGCCCCUCCCCCACGGAGCCCCUCUCCUCCGGUCUCGAGGAGUCUCGCGGCACUUCCCGGGGCGUCAGCCCAGCCGCCGCGGGUGGGUGGCAGACGCGCGGAGCGGGGUCCCUCUGGCGCGGGCUGUGAGGAGGGCGCCCAAGCGCCUCAGCCGCAGGGACGCCCCCGGCGCCUGCCCCGACGCGGCCCGGGCCCCGCCCCUCUCCGGCCCCGCCCCCGCCCGGCGGCCGCGCGUCCCCGGCAGGCGGAGCUGCAGGAGCCUCGCGGCAGCGCUGAGGAGGAGGGGAGAGCGGGCGGCGCGGCCGCGGCUGCCGGGCGCUGGGCUGGGCGGCGCUUUUUUUUUUUUUUUUUUUUUUUCGCAAUUUCCACUCGCGGGGAGCAGGAAACCCGGCGCAGCCGGGCGCAUUGGGCCGCGAUGCAACAGCAGCAGCAGGAGUCGCCCCGGGGCAGCAGCGGCAGCAGCAGCAGAGGCAGCAGCGGGCGGCGCUGAGCCGCCGCCGCAGUCACUGAGGAAGAAGCCGGCCCAGCAGCCGCCGCGUCCGGACCCCCGCGCCUGGAUCCCAGCGCCCCGAUCCCGGCGCACCGAACCCCACGCCCGCCUCCGCCAACUUUCACGCUGCCUCGGCGGCCCGGCCCGGCUCGACGCCAAUGGGUGAGUGAGGGCCGCCCGCGUCCGGGCGUCCACUUCAGCCUUGAGGGCGGCGCGCCAGUCCCAGAACCGCGGAGCCCGGGAGGGCGCCCCGGGGGCAGGGUCCCGACGGGGGACACCGCAGUGGGCGCCCUCGCCUGCCUCGCGCGCCCCCAUUCACUCCCACUUGCGCCUGUGUGCCCGCCGAGCCCGCGCGCGGCGCCGACGGGAACCCGCG